GCAAUUAUCUGCACAUAAAAUAGAUGUCACUGCAGUUCCAUCACCCACCAGGCGAGCCGACGGAUUGCAAUGCAUCGUGGGACGUAGACACCCUCAGGUGACGAUAGCAGUGACGAAAGGGACUGGAGGGGAGGAGAGAGGUGUGGAAAUGAUAUAAUGAGGGGAGGAAGAGGACUGAUAAAAGGAAAAAGAGAGGAGACAGUCCGGUAGAAACAUUUCAUCCUCACAGUUGGCAUUUGGGAGAGGCUCUGGCUCUGGUUCUCAGCAUCACCAGUGGGUGGGGCUGCUCCUGCCUCAUGGGUCCAGUGGGUACACCUGUUCCUCUCUACUCAUUACUUCUCUGGAUUUAAGGACCGGCUGGAACCUCCAUUCUCCUCCAGAUUGUUGACGCCUGUGUGGGAGUAAUCAGGCUCAGUUACUAUGAUCUUAUCACUCUUUUGCAGUUCCCUGACUGUUCUCUCAGCCUCUCUCCUAGUUUUUCUUCUGGUUUGAUUCCUGGCUGGACCCUGCAAACAAAGAAAUCUUUUACUUACUUGCCUGUCCACUCGCCACCAAUCUCACCCUCUGGAAAUCCUUGCGAGUCUCCCCCAUCAGCAGCUACAUGAAGAGAUUCAAGUAAGACCACAAAUCUGCUCUCAAAUUGUAUAACAGCGGCAAAUCACAUUAGUUCUUUACUAACCUGUCCUCUCCACUCUGGCAUAUCCUCUGGUGAAAUGCUGCCCAGUCCCUGAAAAGACACUCUUACAACAGUAAUACUUGCCUGC
This is a long non-coding RNA of Oreochromis aureus, 764 nucleotides long. NCBI's taxonomy places the organism in Eukaryota, Metazoa, Chordata, Actinopteri, Cichliformes, Cichlidae. The record is from Ensembl.